Molecule: ribosomal RNA, 495 nt
Filed under: uncultured bacterium
Lineage: Bacteria
Description: partial 16S ribosomal RNA
Rfam family: Bacterial small subunit ribosomal RNA
Source: RNAcentral
GACGAACGCUGGCGGCGUGCCUAAUACAUGCAAGUAGAACGCUGAAGGAGGAGCUUGCUUCUCUGGAUGAGUUGCGAACGGGUGAGUAACGCGUAGGUAACCUGCCUGGUAGCGGGGGAUAACUAUUGGAAACGAUAGCUAAUACCGCAUAAUAGUAGAUGUUGCAUGACAUUUGCUUAAAAGGUGCAAUUGCAUCACUACCAGAUGGACCUGCGUUGUAUUAGCUAGUUGGUAAGGUAACGGCUCACCAAGGCAACGAUACAUAGCCGACCUGAGAGGGGGAUCGGCCACACUGGGACUGAGACACGGCACAGACUCCUACGGGAGGCAGCAGUAGGGAAUCUUCGGCAAUGGACGGAAGACUGACCGAGCAACGCCGCGGGAGUGAAGAAGGUUUUCGGAUCGUAAAGCUCUGUUGUAAGAGAAGAACGAGUGUGAGAGUGGAAAGUUCGCACUGUGACGGUAUCUUACCAGAAAGGGACGGCUAACUACGUG